This 1651-nucleotide long non-coding RNA is filed under the name Malus domestica (apple). RNAcentral's name for it is "long non-coding RNA (MDOM_LNC010312)". Lineage: Eukaryota; Viridiplantae; Streptophyta; Magnoliopsida; Rosales; Rosaceae. The record is from RNAcentral.
ACCUUUUCUCUCUCCUCUCCCUUUCGAUUUUCUGCAACGUCCGUACAAACGUACGGACGAACCUUAAACCAACCCAUUUAUGCACAGAUCGAGCUUAUGAUUAGUACCAUCUCCUUCCUCUCGUCAUCGCGAACUCAACCAUACCAAUUGUUGGACGUGAAACCUUUGAAAACCCGAGAACCCAAGCACCCCGAAGAAGGCACUGUUUAUACUCUUGCGAUCGUGGGGGUUUCAGUUGAUUCUGAGCUUAUGGGAAGCUUUAGAUCACCCUCAUGAUGCUUGGAGUACCAUUUUCACGAAGUUUGGACGUCGGGAUUGUGUAGAACCAGAGAACCCAAUAUUUGGUAUUGUUCAUGUGCUUGUGGAAUUGAAGGUUUCAAGUUAUUUGGAGCUCAUAGGGAGCUUAAGGACCUCUCCACGAAGCUCGAAGAGGAAGAAUGAGGUGAUUUAGACGUCUGGAGACCGAGAUCGAAGCAUCACAGUUUGGCCGGAAUUAUCGAAGGAUCUCUGGCAAAUUCUCGAAGGUUUUAGGUCCAAAUCUUGGUAAAGUUUUGUUUCUUACAUUGUAAGCUUCAUUUUGGUGAAGAUUUCAUGAAAAAUGGUUAAGAAUUGACUGAAAUACGAAGCCUGGAAAAAUUUCCAGAAACCGGCGAAUUGCAGCCGCACCGGCGACGGUUUCUGGCGAACCAAGGAAGAAGGAGGAGUAUAUUCCGUCAAGUCUGACGGAAUAUGCUAACGGCGUCAGUUAUAUUAAACGGUAUAUGCUGAUUUUUAACGGAAUAUUCCCUAACUGCCGUUACUGUUACCGUUAGGGUUCCUUACGCGUGGCGGCGCGUCUUGCCGUGCACUCGCCGGCGCGUGGGUGGUCGGAAAUUUUUUCUAAAAUUAUAAGGUUGUUCGUGAGGUUGAGUAGAUCACUGUGGUAUAUUCAUAUACCCAAAUUGAGCAACGUAUGAGAAGUUAUUUCCAAGGUUUUGAUUAUGUGCUUAAAUAACGUUAUUUCGGUUACUUCUCAUAUAGGCGAGGCUUAUGCGGACGAUGAGCAAAGUUAAGGGAGGCUCGGGGGCUACGACCCUUCGACAUAUCUGUGAGUGGGCAGUUUUGUUUUCGUAUUACCUAUAUACUACUGUUUUUCCCAGAAAAUGCAAUUAUAUGAAAAUAUGUUUUAAAAUGCCAUGCAUGCAAUCGAUGAUAUAUUUGAAUUGAUAAUUGAUGCAUAUAUAUGUGAAUUGACGAUGUUGACGCCCAAGUGAGUUUUUACAUUAUUCAUACAAUUUAUUUUAUGUUUAGAUCCAAAUUAGGGUUCAAGAUUUUUAUAUCUGCAAAACUAAUAUUUUCUACAAAUUUUGAAAAGAGUCCAAACUGAAAAGUCAUGUUAAAUGCAAAAUAAUAGAUGGCUAAAGAGAAAGUCUUUUUUUUUUUUUGGAUAAACUGGAAAUAGCAUUCCAGAGCAAAGGCUAACAAAGUACAAAGAGCAGGUAUACACAAGAGGCCCAAUUACAUGAUACUCAUAAAGAAAAAUAUAUAGACCUCAAAGCAAAACAAGAAAGGGCCCAAAGCACACAUUGAAGUAGGGGUGGGCAAACGGGUCCUGGACUCGCGGGUCAGGGUGGGUCUUUGUGGUUCGGGCUGGGUCAAAAAAUUACAAAUA